This 570-nucleotide ribosomal RNA is filed under the name Salmonella enterica subsp. enterica. RNAcentral describes it as "partial 23S ribosomal RNA". It matches the Rfam family "Bacterial large subunit ribosomal RNA", at positions 379 to 951 of the family's 2925-position model. Lineage: Bacteria; Pseudomonadati; Pseudomonadota; Gammaproteobacteria; Enterobacterales; Enterobacteriaceae. The record is from RNAcentral.
ACAAAAGCGCAUGUGUUGUGAGCUCGAUGAGUAGGGCGGGACACGUGGUAUCCUGUCUGAAUAUGGGGGGACCAUCCUCCAAGGCUAAAUACUCCUGACUGACCGAUAGUGAACCAGUACCGUGAGGGAAAGGCGAAAAGAACCCCGGCGAGGGGAGUGAAAAAGAACCUGAAACCGUGUACGUACAAGCAGUGGGAGCACAGGUUUACCUGUGUGACUGCGUACCUUUUGUAUAAUGGGUCAGCGACUUAUAUUCUGUAGCAAGGUUAACCGUAUAGGGGAGCCGGAGGGAAACCGAGUCUUAAUUGGGCGUUAAGUUGCAGGGUAUAGACCCGAAACCCGGUGAUCUAGCCAUGGGCAGGUUGAAGGUUGGGUAACACUAACUGGAGGACCGAACCGACUAAUGUUGAAAAAUUAGCGGAUGACCUGUGGCUGGGGGUGAAAGGCCAAUCAAACCGGGAGAUAGCUGGUUCUCCCCGAAAGCUAUUUAGGUAGCGCCUCGUGAAUUCAUCUCCGGGGGUAGAGCACUGUUUCGGCUAGGGGGCCAUCCCGGCUUACCAACCCGAUGCA